Molecule: ribosomal RNA, 446 nt
Filed under: uncultured bacterium
Lineage: Bacteria
Description: partial 16S ribosomal RNA
Rfam family: Bacterial small subunit ribosomal RNA
Source: RNAcentral
CCUACGGGUGGCAGCAGUCGAGAAUCAUUCACAAUGGGGGAAACCCUGAUGGUGCGACGCCGCGUGGGGGAAUGAAGGUCUUCGGAUUGUAAACCCCUGUCAUGUGGGAGCAAAUUACAAUGAUCGUACCACCAGAUGCAGAGACGGCUAACGCUGUGCCAGCAGCCGCGGUAAUACAGAGGUCUCAAGCGUUGUUCGGAAUCACUGGGCGUAAAGCGUGCGGAGGCUGUUUCGUAAGUCGUGUGUGAAAGGCGCGGGCUCAACCCGCGGACUGCACAUGAUACUGCGAGACUAGAGUAAUGGAGGGGGAAGCGGAAUUCGCGGUGUAGCAGUGAAAUGCGUAGAUAUCGAGAGGAACACUCGUGGCGAAGGCGGGUUCCUGGACAGUAACUGACGCUGAGGCACGAAGGCCAGGGGAGCGAAAGGGAUUAGAUACCCUUGUAGUC